AUACGAAGGGGGCUAGCGUUGUUCGGAAUCACUGGGCGUAAAGCGCGCGUAGGUGGAUCAAUUAGUUGAGGGUGAAAUCCCGGGGCUCAACCUCGGAACUGCCUUCAGUACUGUUGAUCUUGAGACCGAGAGAGGUGAGUGGAAUUCCUAGUGUAGAGGUGAAAUUCGUAGAUAUUAGGAAGAACACCAGUGGCGAAGGCGGCUCACUGGCUCGGUACUGACGCUGAGGUGCGAAAGCGUGGGGAGCAAACAGGAUUAGAUACCCCAGUAGUCC
RNAcentral lists this ribosomal RNA (274 nucleotides) under uncultured bacterium. Its description in RNAcentral is "partial 16S ribosomal RNA". It matches the Rfam family "Bacterial small subunit ribosomal RNA", at positions 523 to 796 of the family's 1533-position model. The record is from RNAcentral.